Molecule: ribosomal RNA, 259 nt
Filed under: uncultured bacterium
Lineage: Bacteria
Description: partial 16S ribosomal RNA
Rfam family: Bacterial small subunit ribosomal RNA
Source: RNAcentral
UACGUAGGGUGCGAGCGUUGUCCGGAAUUAUUGGGCGUAAAGAGCUUGUAGGCGGUUUGUCGCGUCUGCUGUGAAAAUCCGGGGCUCAACCCCGGACUUGCAGUGGGUACGGGCAGACUAGAGUGUGGUAGGGGAGACUGGAAUUCCUGGUGUAGCGGUGAAAUGCGCAGAUAUCAGGAGGAACACCGGUGGGCGAAGGCGGGUCUCUGGGCCGAUGAACUGACGCUGGAGGAGCGAAAGCGUGGGGGAGCGAACAGGA